RNAcentral lists this ribosomal RNA (253 nucleotides) under uncultured bacterium. RNAcentral describes it as "partial 16S ribosomal RNA". It matches the Rfam family "Bacterial small subunit ribosomal RNA", at positions 524 to 776 of the family's 1533-position model. The record is from RNAcentral.
UACGUAGGGUGCGAGCGUUGUUCGGAAUCAUUGGGCGUAAAGCGCAUGUAGGCGGUUAGGUCAGUCUGAUGUGAAAUCCCGGGGCUCAACCCCGGAACUGCAUUGGAAACUGGCUGACUAGAGGCCGAGAGAGGAGAGUGGAAUUCCUGGUGUAGGGGUGAAAUUCGUAGAUAUCAGGAAGAACACCAGUGGCGAAGGCGGCUCUCUGGCUCGGUUCUGACGCUGAGGUGCGAAAGCGUGGGGAGCAAACAGG